AAAAAAAAAAAAAAAAAAAAAAAAAAAAAAAAAAACAGCAAAUGAUAUAUAAAAAAUAGAGAAAACGAAAAAUAAUAAAACUAACCUGGUAAAAAAAAGUAAACAAAAAAUAUAUAAAUUUUUUAAAAGAAAAGCAAAAACUAUAUUUCAUUUAAUUUUUUAAAUUUCUCCUUUGAUACUAUUAUAAAAAAAAAAGAAAAAAACGAGCAAGCUUAUCCGUCAUGCUAUAUAUAUAUGUUACACAUUAUUUACGUGUAUAUAUACAUAUAUAUAUUUUUUUUUUUUUGUACCGCUCUGUUUUUCAUCUUGUGCUUAUUUGUUAUGUAAAAAUAAGUAAAGAAAAGCACGUGUAGGCACUUUUCCAUUGAUGUGGACACAAGCGUGAGCAUACACAUUUUGAAUUAAAAGAAUUGAUCAUGUGUAAACAAAAGUGUGAAUUUGUAUUAAAGCUUGAACAUGUAUAACAUAGUGAGGGUAAUAUAACGUAUAACACAUACGUAUAUAUAUAACAAAACAUGAGCCAUUUGUUUUUAUUAUCAUUGCCAACAUGCAAUAUUUCUUUUCUGUUAAUUUUUUUUUUUUUUUUUAAACAUUGUUACAUACUUCAAGUUGUAACAUAUAUAUAUAUAUAUAUAUAAAUAACUUAUUACCCAAUUUAAAAAUAAGUUUUAGCUUUUUACUAAUAAACAACACAUUUGAAAUAGUUUGCUUAUAAAAAAAAAACAAAAAAUGUAAUCUUUUUUUUUUUUUUUUUUUUUUUUUUUUUUUUUGUACAACUACAACAAAAAUGAUUGACGUUCGUAAAAUAUUAAAAGUUAAUGUAAAUGAUAUUUAUAAUGACUUAAACAUACUUUAUAAAAGUAACAAGGCUAAUACAAAUAUAGAAGAAAUUGAAAAAUUUAGUAAAAAAAAAUCUUUACAUGGUAAAAGAAUAAUAUCCAAGUAUAAAAACACAUUUACUAUUACGUUAGAGAAGUAUAUUUUUAUAUGUAUACAACACGACAACAUUUGGACCAUAUUGAAACACAACUGCACUCAUAAAUUCGAUAAAUGUAUUUGUAUUAGCAAUUUGAACUUGUUAAUAUUUCAAAAAUAUAAUAAACUGUUGAUACAAGAGUUUGAAAUUGCUAGUAAAAAAGAAUACAACA
This 1148-nucleotide long non-coding RNA is filed under the name Piliocolobus tephrosceles (Ugandan red Colobus). RNAcentral's name for it is "lncRNA (ENSPTEG00000018015.1)". Lineage: Eukaryota; Metazoa; Chordata; Mammalia; Primates; Cercopithecidae. The record is from RNAcentral.